This 301-nucleotide ribosomal RNA is filed under the name uncultured bacterium. RNAcentral's name for it is "partial 16S ribosomal RNA". It matches the Rfam family "Bacterial small subunit ribosomal RNA", at positions 509 to 807 of the family's 1533-position model. The record is from RNAcentral.
CAGUAGCCGCGGGAAUACGGAGGGUGCAAGCGUUAUCCGGAUUUAUUGGGUUUAAAGGGUCCGUAGGCGGAUCUGUAAGUCAGUGGUGAAAUCUCACAGCUUAACUGUGAAACUGCCAUUGAUACUGCAGGUCUUGAGUAAAUUUGAAGUGGCUGGAAUAAGUAGUGUAGCGGUGAAAUGCAUAGAUAUUACUUAGAACACCAAUUGCGAAGGCAGGUCACUAAGAUUUAACUGACGCUGAUGGACGAAAGCGUGGGGAGCGAACAGGAUUAGAUACCCCUGUAGUCCCUGUCUCUUAUAC